Molecule: unclassified non-coding RNA, 422 nt
Filed under: Hevea brasiliensis (rubber tree)
Lineage: Eukaryota; Viridiplantae; Streptophyta; Magnoliopsida; Malpighiales; Euphorbiaceae
Source: RNAcentral
UGCUAGAGUUCCUUGUGGACCUAGAUCACCACUGUACUAUAGAAAUACAAUAUCAUACCGCAUGAAACAAGGUUUGCUGAAAUAUCAAACUCCCAUGACAAUGCCUUCUAGGAGCAUGAAUUCACAUGCACCUGAGUUUGUACACAGGAAAGCUUGGCAAACAAAUCCUAGAAAUAGAAAUUCAAGUGAUCCAAAUGAGUUGAACUCUUUGCUAGAAAAGAGCAGGGCAAAAGAGGAGAUACUAGAUAAGGAAUCCAGCAAUGAUGUCCAAGAUGGUAGUCCAAGAAAGACUAGCUCUGAGUCUGAGAAGGCAGAACUUGCAAGGCAGAUACUUUUUAGCUUUAUUGUGAAUUCAGUUCAGUGCAAUGUUGAUUCUGGAAGUAAGUCUGUACCCAGCGAGAAGUUUGAAAGUUCUUCGGAUG